This 1687-nucleotide long non-coding RNA is filed under the name Homo sapiens (human). Its description in RNAcentral is "LNC_000758". Lineage: Eukaryota; Metazoa; Chordata; Mammalia; Primates; Hominidae. The record is from RNAcentral.
GCAAGACUCUGUCUGAAAAAAAUAAAAAUAAAUAAAUAAAAAAGAAAGCACAACUUAUUCUGGACAUGGCGGCUCACCUCAGCCUCCCAAAGUGCUGGGAUUACAGGCAUGAGUUACUGCACCCGGCUAAGACCUUUAUUUAAAGCCAAGCCCAGCCAUGGAUUUGUGCCAUUAAAUACCUAUAAGUUGGAUGAUCCUCUGCUCUUGAGGUUCCAAAGUAAACUUGGGGCUCCUGGGCCUGUCAGAAAGUGACAUUCUUUACUUACCACAGGUCAGGAACCCUGUACAGGGAAGGUAUGAGGCCAGUUUCCCCAAGGGGCUUUAUUGGCUCCAUAAGUCAAGUUUGAUUCCCUAAAGGAAAGCACACCAUUCCAGUCAGAGCCUUGGUAAAAUAACCAGUUUCUCUGUUUGUGUCCUGUUGCAAAAUGAAAACAGAUUCUUACUAUACUUAUGCAAAUUACGAUAUUGCCAUCAGUUAAGCAUAUUCAAAAAUAAUUCCCAAGUUCUGGAGAAAUCAGGUAGAGAGAAACAAAUAUGCUCCAAAUUAUAGUCAUAGGAGUAUACUAAAUUGUUAAAAGCUGUCAAUAGCUCAAAAGAAAAGUUUCCUUGACUCUGAAAAAAAAACAAAGAAUCAGCAACAUUUAAAGCAAAAGUCAAAAAGAUUACUUUAGUCUUCUAUCAGUUCAGUUUAUGCAAUUAACUCCUGUUCUGCUUGAUACUCAUGAACAUUUCAGCUCUCCAUGAGAGUCCUGAAAGUUUCUUUUUUCCUCUAUUCUAGUGUCACAACUUCCAAAGUUAUCAGAAACCUGCAUUUAAGAACACCUGUUAAGAGUUCUAUAGCUGAUUAUAAAACCACCUUCUAAAGAGGGCCAAAACAAGACAACAAUUGUCUGUGGAUGACAAACAGUUUUAGAGCAGCCAUAGUCAAAGACACAAUUGACAAGGACAUUUGUUACCUCUGUGGCACACAAUAAUUUAACAUAGGAAUUAUAAUUAUUACUGAUAAGGUACACUUAAGUUAUAUCACUAGAUGUUUCUCACUAUGUACACUAAGUUAUAAUUAUAGGAGUUUCCCAUAAUUUUGGAACACAUACCAAUAACAUAUUUAUAUAAACGUAGCCCAAAGAAAACCAAACACUAUAUUAUAUGUGACAAUGAUUCCUGUAUAAUUUUUAUACCAGAUAAGCCAAAUAUGUCAUUUUUGGACUUCAGGGAACCUAUUAAUAAUACCUUAAAGGAUUAAUUAAAUCAGAAAAAGACAUAAUUUAUAAUUUGAUUUUGGAAAGUUUGUCAAAUAUCAAAGGUUUAAAACACUUGAUAUCACAAAAUAGGAUCACAGGUCAUUGUUAAAUAAGUUAUUCAUUUAACCAAAGUGAUAAUUCAGGGAUUUCAAAGAAAAGGUGAAAACCUUCAUUCUUUGAGAGAGGAUAUUUAGUUUUCCAAACAAUAAGCCCUGACAAAAACAGCACAGGCUGGGUGCAGUGGCUCACACUUGUAAUCCCAGCACUUUGGGAGGCCAAGGGGAGGGGUGGAUUACUGGAGGUCAGGAAUUCGAGACCAGCCUGACCCAUAUACUGAAACCCCAUCUCUACUAAAAAUACAAAAAAUUUAAUCCCAGCACUUUGGGAGGCUGAGGCAGGUGGAUCACAAGGUCAGAUCGAGACCAUCCUGGCUAACAUGGUGAAAC